UGGAGACCAGUCACUGACUUCAGAGUGCCUGUUUAUUAAAGAUGAAAGUAAUGUAUGCCUGGCUGAUCUGAACAGCUGUCAGAGAUUCGGCUGUUAGCAAAGGAAGUCACUAAUUUCGAGGUAUAAUCACUCAUCUAAGAGAGAGACGGCCCGCCUUCAUCUUCCGAGCGGAGCUGGGCUGUGUGGUCUCCACCAGGUGUGCAAGAGGAAAAGAGGCGGUGUUGAGCCACACAGAGAGUGGACUUGAUGUACCUUGUGUGUGCUUUGACAGUGAUAAACCCUGAAUAUUCUUCAAAGCCGAGUGAGCAAAUGGGUUACUCACCGCUGGGUUAUAAGGCAGGGCAGUGCCCACCACAGCGCUCCGGGAAGACUCACCAAGCAGGGGGCCUGUGGGGCAGGGAAGAGGCUGCUGGUGGCUGA
This 420-nucleotide long non-coding RNA is filed under the name Suricata suricatta (meerkat). Its description in RNAcentral is "lncRNA (ENSSSUG00005018254.1)". Lineage: Eukaryota; Metazoa; Chordata; Mammalia; Carnivora; Herpestidae. The record is from RNAcentral.